Molecule: ribosomal RNA, 412 nt
Filed under: uncultured Methanosaeta sp.
Lineage: Archaea; Methanobacteriati; Methanobacteriota; Methanomicrobia; Methanotrichales; Methanotrichaceae
Description: bacterial SSU rRNA
Rfam family: Archaeal small subunit ribosomal RNA
Source: RNAcentral
CGACCGGGGCGACAGCAAUAUGAAGGUCAGGCUGAAGACCUUACCCGAUUAGCUGAGAGGUGGUGCAUGGCCGUCGUCAGUUCGUACUGUGAAGCAUCCUGUUAAGUCAGGCAACGAGCGAGACCCACGUCCACAGUUGCCAGCAUACCCGUCCGGGGUGAUGGGUACACUGUGGAGACCGCCGCUGCUAAAGCGGAGGAAGGAGUGGGCAACGGUAGGUCAGUAUGCCCCGAAUCUCCCGGGCUACACGCGGGCUACAAUGGUUGGUACAAUGGGCAUCUACCCCGAAAGGGGAAGGAAAUCUCUUAAAGCCAAUCGUAGUUCGGAUUGAGGGCUGCAACUCGCCCUCAUGAAGCUGGAAUCCGUAGUAAUCGCGUUUCAACAGAACGCGGUGAAUACGUCCCUGCUCCUU